AAUACACAAAUGAGCUGAGAACAAGGGAAACCACAGUUCCCAGUGCAGCGGAUGCCGCUGUUCGGAAUGGCUGGGCAGGGCUCAGCCGUGGCUGGGAGGAAGCGGCACUAUGCUCCUUCAGCCUCCCUCUUUUUUCUUCCUUUUUCCUCCAUCUCCAUUAUUUUUCCCAACGUCACCUUCACUCUCCCAUGUUCUCCCUCAGUCUCCAUCAUUUUUUCCUCACUGCUCUUCAGUUUCUGUCUUUGUCACCCUUCAUGCUCUCAUAUUCAACUUCAAUCCCCCCUUUUCCCUUGAUUUUCCUCCAUCUCCAUUUUUCCCCUCGUGUGCCUUCAUUUUCCCUCUUCCUUGCUCAUUUCCAUUGCUCUCCCUUGUUUUCCUUUUCUCUCAUUUCUUCUCAAUUGCCACAUUUCCCUCACCUUUCCCCCAGUCUUCCUAAUUUAACCAUCUCAUUUUCUCCACUGUACCCCUUUUACCUCAGUUUCCCUUUUUCUUACCUUGCCAGCCCUCAUUUCCUUUCAUUUUCUCUUCACAAACCUUCACUUAUCCUCGUUCUUAUUUCUCCCUGUUUUCUUCCCCUUUCUCUCUCCUGUAUACCCUCAUUGUUCCCAAUUUUCCCUCACUCUCUUUUCUCUGGUUCUCCCUCAUUUUCCCUCUUUAUCCACAAUUUUCCCUUUAUCUUCUCGAUUCCCCCCCCCCCUUCAAUGUUCCUAAUUUUUCUGCCUUCUCCCUCAUUUUCCCUUGUUCUUCCACUUCUCCCCUCAAUACCCCAAUUUUCCUUAUUUUACACCCCUUCUCCCUCAUUUUCGUUCAGGUUUCUCUCGUUCUCCCUCAGUGUCCCUUAUUUUUCCCUCAGGCUCUCUUUCUCCUCAUACACCAUUGGUUUUCCUCGUUAUCACCCCAUUUUCCCUCAUUUUCUCUUGGCUUCCUCUGUUUCUUUCAUUUCACCUCAAUAUCCCUUAUUUUUCUCUCACAUUCCCCUUUCUCAAAUCAUUUCCCCCUCAGUGUCCCUCCUGCAUUCCCCCCACCUUCCCUUUUUCCCUCAUUUUUCCUCCAAACUCCCUCAUUUUCCCCUCACACACCUUCACUUUACCUCUUUCUCCCUCAGUUUCUCCUUGGUUUCUUUCAUCUUUUUUUUGUCCUUGUCCUCCCUCAUUUUCCCUCAAUGCCCCUCAUUUUUCUCCACUUUCUCCCUCAUUUCCCCCCCCACACCUUCUCUUUCUUUCUCCAUUUUCCCCUCACACACCUUCUUAUUCUUUCUCUCCUUUUCCCCACAGUUUCUCUAUUUCUCCUGUCUUCCAUUUUUCCUGUUUCCUAUUUUCCUCCAGCGUCCCCCCAUUCUUCCCCUCAGUUUCUCUCAUUCUCCCCCAACGUCCCCCCUUUCUCCUUCAUUUUCCCUCACACACCUUAUCCUUCUUUCCCCCCCAUCUUCUCUCAUUUUCUCAACAUCCUCCCAAUUUUCCUCUCACACUCCUCCUCUUUCUCCCCCAUUUUCCCCUCAGUAUCUCCUAUUUUCCUUCAACAUCUCCCUUUCUCCCCUAUUUUCCCUUCACACCUUAUCCUUCUCUUUCUCCCAAUUUCCCCUUCAAUUUUUCUUAUUUUCCCUCAACAUCUCCCUCCUUUCUCCCCCAUUUCUCCCUCAGUUUCUCUCAUUUUCCCUCAGCGUUUCCCUUUCCCCAUUUUCCCCUCACACACUUUAUUCUUUCCCCCAUUUUCCUCUCAGUUUCUAUUUCCCCUCUUCCAUUUUCCCUUCAGUGUCCCAUUUUCCCUCAACCUCUCCCCUCUUUCUCCCACAUUUUCCCUCAGUUUCUCUAUUUUCCCUCAGAAUCCUCCAUCUUCCCUCAAUUUCUCUCAUUUUCCCCUCAUCCCUCUCCUUUCUCCCCCAUUUUCCCCUCAGUUUCUCUAUUUCCCCUCAGUCUCUUCCAUUUUCCCCUCAGUGUCUCAUUUUCCUUCAGCCUCUCCCUGUUUCUCCCCCAUUUUCCCCUCAGUUUCUCAAUUUUCCCUCAGAAUCCUCCAUCUUCCCCUCAAUUUCUCUUUUUCCCUGUGUCCCUCUCCCUUCUCCCUCAUUUUCCCUCAGUUUCUCUAUUUCCCUUCUUCCAUUUUCCCCUCAGUGUCUCAUUUUCCCUCAGCCUCUCUCCUUUCUCCCCCAUUUUCCCUCAGUUUCUCUAUUUUCCCUCAAAAAUCCUCCAUCUUCCUCUCCAUUUCUCUCAUUUUCCUCGUGUCCCUCACCUUUCUCCCCCAUUUUCCCCUCAGUUUCUCUAUUUCCCCUCAGUCUCUUCCAUUUCCCCCUCAGUGUCUCAUUUUCCCUCAGCCUCUCCCCUUUUUCUCCCCCCCAUUUUCCCCUCGCACACCUUCUCCUUCUUUCUCACCCGUUUUCCCUCAGCCUCUCCCCUUUUCCUCCCCCAUUUCUCCUCACACACCUCCCCUUUCCCUCAGCACCCCUCUCUCCCACCUCCACCCGCCUCCCUCCGCUUCCCCUCACACACCUUCAUUCCCCCCCCAUUCCCCCUCCCGCCCUUCCCGGCGCGCACAGCACCGCGAUGGAGACCGCGGGGCGGCUAUUGGGGAGCGGUGCCCGCGCAGCGCCCGUCGGCGACGAACAAUAUCCCGUGUUCCGUCUGCAGCGCGGGGCAUUUGCAAUGCAAAUAGUGCGAGGGAUUCCUUCAGAGAACAGCGCUUGUUGCCGCUCACUUCCAGUGCAGGAUGCAGACUGCCCUCCCACUCUAGCUCAGGACACUGCAAUUCCCCAUCUAUGCUGACAUCUCAACUCACUGCUCCAGCUUUCAAGGUGCUCUGUGACCAGGGAUGGGAUUCGAGUGUGAACUUGGCCACUUCUGAGUUAGGUAUGGGAAAACUCAGCUUCCACUCUGAUAGGCAGCCCAACGUCUAUCAUGUACUUCAACAAAACUGGACUACACUGAAGGAAUUGGGCAGUUAAAAAGAAGCCAAAGGUAGAAGAUUUGCCAGGCUCUGUAGGAGGGUGUUGGGAUUUUAGAUGUCUGGUAGUGCUGGGGAAGGUGUAGCCAGGAGCCACGCAGGCUUCCUCCAAACUUCUCAUUUUGCAGGGACAUCUCAAGCUAACGAGCUGUCAGCUGUGUGCCUUCGCACCCAAGGCAGCCGUGGGCUGAGCUCCUGUUUCUUUAUAUCUAUUCCAGCAACUUCUGAGUUUUGCAAUAAGUGCCUGCAAAUCCAAUUAGCUACUUUCUUUGUGGCACUGUAGUCUGGCAAAGAUCUGCUGUGUUGCUGCCAUCUACAGUAGGGCCAGUGCCAAUGGAUAAGAAACAGAUCUGAUUUGCAUAUUCAAAUAUGCAAAUGGACAAUGACAGCUCUCCCUAAUUUCUGUUUGGGCUUUUUAUUGCAAAAGCGUUGCUUCUGAGAUCCUAGUCUUGUGCUCAGAGGUGUGUGUUUCAUCCUGCUUGGCCCUCGCUGUGCCAAGGGGUGGUUCUGUCCCACGAGAGCCAGGGAUGCUGGAAAAUGAAGUGGAAAAAAUACUUUGUAUUGCACCUGUUGGCCAAGUAAACACAGGAGACACCCAGACUGCUUACUUGCCAGGAUCCAAGCAACAUCUCUCAUUUUGCAAUGAGAGUAGUUUCCUGUGGGCUUAGCACCACUCUUUGAGUUGGCUGGCUCACACCUCUGCCAUAAAGCCCUAUGAUUGAUUGAUAUGUAUGUGUGUAUUAUGUUUGUGUUACUGCAAUGUUCUGUAAGUCUUGCUCUUCCUAUUCUUGGAGAAACAAGCUUGCUUCGCUGUUGAUUGCCAUUCACCAUUAUUUUCUCAUUACUGUUUUAGUUACAUCUUCCCUUUUUCUGCUCUGAACCGAAGACCACAAGUUCUGUGGUCAGUCUGUACUUUGAGUGGCUUGGAGAGCUGCCAGCACUUAGAGUCAAACAGCUUAGAAAAAUAGUGAUGUUGUAAUGGUUCUAUGGACUUAAAGACACUGAGCUUGCAUUUGAGCAGAGUUUCUCUGAGAAAACCCACUCUUCAAUUCGUAUCUGCAUGCAAUACUACUGAGUGGAAAGACCUUUAGGUUCUUCUCUGGACCUCUGUAAGUCACUUACCAGCUGCACAGUGAUCACAGUGGUCCUUGUCUAAUUUUGUGUAGCAAUGUUUGAUGAGCCAAAUACUCUGUGGAGUUUCUGGGAUGUAUAUAACUACAAUCAAAACAGAGAACUAAUGAUAUUUGAGGUAGUAAGGGUUGGUAUUUACCAUGGGUUCACCAACAAUAGUGCUAUAUCCUUACUUACAGUCUCAGAAGAAGUCCUGAAUCUUAAGUCAGGAGAAGAUUUGGUAUUCAGGACAUGCAUUUAACACCAGGAUAAUGCAGCAAAAGUCCAAAUUGUUAAUGGCCAAAACCUCUGAUUGCCAGAACAAUGUUCCUAGCCACAACUAGCUGCAUCUGGGGAAAAAAUUACAGGCAGCUUGGAAAUUCUUUAGUUCCCUUAUUAAUGAAGGACUUAGUAAAAAGAAAAAAAGCCACCAAAACCACUGUAAUACAAUUGAGUUUAACUAAGUUCUUUCGUGCCUGAGGAAAAUCUAAAUUAUAGCUUACUAUAGGUUCUGAAAAAUGCAGAAGUCUUUUAAUGGGCAAUAACCCUCUGAAACAGAAGGAAGAGGGAAAAUUUUCUCAGUAAGCAGGAACACAAUGAGAAUUUAUUUGAUGCUUUCUGUGUAGUUAGUGCUGGUGAAAAGAGCCAGAUGAAUAGUCACAAAUACGUCAUGUCCUUUGCAGAUGCAACAUGGGCAGCACAAGCGUCCUCAAACCGCCCCACCAAUGUGCUUCAAUUCUGAAUAAGGAGAACCAGCUUUCUGGGUGAGAAAGGAGUCUGUCUCUAUUCAGUCCCUGACCCUUCUGCUCAAGGCUGUUAAUGAAGGGGCCUCAUUAGCACCAAAGGUGAGGUUGGCAUUAUAAUGUAGCUACUGGCCUGCCACAGGCUGAGCUGAAACCUAUCAAUUCGUUCUGUCAGAUGACGAUACCUUUCGUUAGCACUCUGCAGACACAGGUCAGGUUUGGCCAAAUGAUGUAAGAGGCUGUGUCAUGCCAAUCUCACCAGCUGGCUGGACCUGCCAUGAAGAGCAUUUCACAGCCUGGAUUCGUCCAGCACUGAAUACGAGCUGCUGGCAGAAGCUCAGGCUGAAGAAGACAAGUCUAAGCACCUUAAGGAGCAAACACAGUCAUGGUUCAAUAGAAAGAAGGGAGAUUCAGUGCUGACAUUUGUGUCUGCUUUGCCUGUGCCUUGUUUUGGUUGAUGCCAAAGUCAUUGAGGGAUGCUCAUCUGUGUGCUCAGAGAGAGGCCACCUUCUGACAGGGAACUGUGACCCUGGACAGGAUAACCUUUAGAGCAUUAAAUAAUACAAGAUGGGGAGUGAAGUAGCUUGAAAAAAAGGACAUGGCAGGAUGAGAUCAGCAGCAGAAUCUGACCGGCAUCAAAAAGCCUGUUCUGAAUCAUUUCCUGGAUUGAAAAGAGUGUCCAAAAAAGGAGCAGGACUUAUUAUUUCAGAUAAAUAUAUUGUCUGAAAUACAGCCUCUCCAUAGCCAAGGCAUUCUCAGUGUCUCGAGUUUCCCAGGCCUAACGUGCAACAAUCCUGUGGCCACACACUCAUGCAUGCCUUGUUUCUGAGCAUCCCAAGCUCUGGCUCACAGUGUGGUGCCUUUUCCUCUUGGGGACUGGUGUUUCUGCUAUUUCCAGCCCUAAUCACUCAGCCUGCUGGUUUACAGAGCAACAGGCCCUUUCCAACAAAAGCAGGUACCUAGCCUAUAGUUUGAUCCUUACUAUAAUGAAAGCAGGUUGUGAGACAUCCCAGAGCAGCAUUUCAGAACAUGUAACACUCAAAUUAAUGUGAAUUUCUGGUUUUUGUGGCUCCUCAGUCAGCUGCUACAGUGAGAGUUUCCACCAAAACCAGGCUGUUUUACUGAAAUGAGCUUCUUUGUGGCUUCCACCUGUCUACACAGCAAACGGAGGUGGGGUUGCCACAUAUGUUAGUCUAUGCAAACCAGCUCUAAUCUAACUAGCUCAGGUAUGAUAGCAGGUGAGAUAAUCCCCCACACUGCAGUGCAGGCUAUGCAAACGUUCCUGUGACUCAGGGAAUUUGGCUGGCAGUACCAUGCUGAAAUUUCUAUCACUGAAACUUAAUCAUUAUCACUGAUAUCACUACCUGUGAGACAAUAGUGCACCUGAUUGCUGCAAAGUCAUAUCUUGGCACUCCUGUAAUGCCUUGGAGCUUGACUUUGUUCCACUGUGGCCUUGCCAGCAUAGUUUCAAGGGAGUCAGGAUGGGAUCUAAAACAACACACACAUGCAACAAAUACUGUUUCAGCCAACGCAGUGUGAACUGAAGACUCUCUGCAGUUAGACAGUGGAGGCUGAGCUGUAAGAAAUUCUGUCCCUUUGUUACUCAGGCAUCAGUGCUAGGCAUUGUAAUACAUGCCCGUGAGUUUAUUCAUUACAUACAUUUUAUAUGCCACCAAUAUUUUGGAUUAAUGAAGAAUACAAUCAAUUUGACACAUUUCAUGCAGUUUUGCAAUGCAUUAUGUAAACACUGCAGAUGCAGGCUGUUUUCUCCCACUGCCUGCGGAUUUUUAUAUGCUAUGAAAUCUAUUUUAAAUAUAUGCAUGAAAUGUGUCACGAAACAUCUGACAUAUGUGGAAAACAUAUUACUGUACCGUAUGGGCAGUGUAGAAGGUCACUGAUGAACAGCUUGAAAACAGCAAUCAUUUGCAUAUAGAUAUAUAGCUGUUUAUACUGUGAUCCCAUCAUAGGGGAAUGGGGUCCCAGGUCUGCGUGGGUCACUGGCAAUGGCAGCAUUGUUGGACUUGUGAUGCAUAAUGUGAUGGAAACAAAUGGAAGUAGCUAGGAUGCUUGCUGCCUGGACAUUUUCAUCAGUUCCUCAUAAGAGAGCAGUAGAUAAAGUCCUGUGGAAGAUAAGGGAGAGCAGAGUCAUGUUUUUAGUGACACUUCAUCAUAGUUUGAUCAUUAAAAGUUGCCCUUGUUCAAGGCACUUCUCUGUGCCGAGUGUCACAGAGCAGAUCCUGUUCUCUCUUUCAAGUAUCCACUCCAGGUUGGACUGAAUAGAGUUAGUAUGCAUUAGGGAUGGUACAGACGGGGUCAAGCCCUGCCUUUAAUCUCUGUGUAUGUCUUUCUGUCGAGAUGAUUCAUGUUUUUCAGUGUUACACCACUAGAUCUUUAAGUCAGAUAGGAUGAAUGGUGAUGAAGAACAAAUUUAACUUGUUGCCGUUUUUGCUCCAUUUCACAGAUUUGGUUUUAAUUUCACUUGGCAGUGCUCUGGUGGAUGUUAGUGCUUGGCAGUAAACAAUAAAAUCCCACAUAUAUCAGUUUUUGUGUUUUCA
Phasianus colchicus (ring-necked pheasant) is the source of this 7342-nucleotide long non-coding RNA. The record is from Ensembl. NCBI's taxonomy places the organism in Eukaryota, Metazoa, Chordata, Aves, Galliformes, Phasianidae.